Long non-coding RNA from Telopea speciosissima, 98 nucleotides. RefSeq lists it as uncharacterized. The transcript is spliced from 3 exons. The record is from RefSeq and is a predicted model, not a curated record. NCBI's taxonomy places the organism in Eukaryota, Viridiplantae, Streptophyta, Magnoliopsida, Proteales, Proteaceae.
GAAAUCUUCAAACUCUCCUACAUUAGAAACCAUAGCUGAAGAAGGCGCAGAAGAUUAUGAUGAUGAUGACUCUUAAUGAACGGUGUACACCAUUUUCC